ACACGGAGCUUGCUCUGUGGGAUCAGUGGCGAACGGGUGAGUAACACGUGAGCAACCUGCCCCUGACUCUGGGAUAAGCGCUGGAAACGGCGUCUAAUACUGGAUAUGUGACGUGACCGCAUGGUCUGCGUCUGGAAAGAAUUUCGGUUGGGGAUGGGCUCGCGGCCUAUCAGCUUGUUGGUGAGGUAAUGGCUCACCAAGGCGUCGACGGGUAGCCGGCCUGAGAGGGUGACCGGCCACACUGGGACUGAGACACGGCCCAGACUCCUACGGGAGGCAGCAGUGGGGAAUAUUGCACAAUGGGCGCAAGCCUGAUGCAGCAACGCCGCGUGAGGGACGACGGCCUUCGGGUUGUAAACCUCUUUUAGCAGGGAAGAAGCGAAAGUGACGGUACCUGCAGAAAAAGCGCCGGCUAACUACGUGCCAGCAGCCGCGGUAAUACGUAGGGCGCAAGCGUUAUCCGGAAUUAUUGGGCGUAAAGAGCUCGUAGGCGGUUUGUCGCGUCUGCUGUGAAAUCCGGAGGCUCAACCUCCGGCCUGCAGUGGGUACGGGCAGACUAGAGUGCGGUAGGGGAGAUUGGAAUUCCUGGUGUAGCGGUGGAAUGCGCAGAUAUCAGGAGGAACACCGAUGGCGAAGGCAGAUCUCUGGGCCGUAACUGACGCUGAGGAGCGAAAGGGUGGGGAGCAAACAGGCUUAGAUACCCUGGUAGUCCACCCCGUAAACGUUGGGAACUAGUUGUGGGGUCCAUUCCACGGAUUCCGUGACGCAGCUAACGCAUUAAGUUCCCCGCCUGGGGAGUACGGCCGCAAGGCUAAAACUCAAAGGAAUUGACGGGGACCCGCACAAGCGGCGGAGCAUGCGGGAUUAAUUCGAUGCAACGCGAAGAACCUUACCAAGGCUUGACAUAUACGGAGAAC
RNAcentral lists this ribosomal RNA (917 nucleotides) under uncultured bacterium. Its description in RNAcentral is "bacterial SSU rRNA". It matches the Rfam family "Bacterial small subunit ribosomal RNA", at positions 71 to 998 of the family's 1533-position model. The record is from RNAcentral.